Molecule: ribosomal RNA, 505 nt
Filed under: uncultured bacterium
Lineage: Bacteria
Description: partial 16S ribosomal RNA
Rfam family: Bacterial small subunit ribosomal RNA
Source: RNAcentral
GACGAACGCUGGCGGCGUGCCUAAUACAUGCAAGUAGAACGCACAGUUUAUACCGUAGCUUGCUACACCAUAAACUGUGAGUUGCGAACGGGUGAGUAACGCGUAGGUAACCUGCCUGGUAGCGGGGGAUAACUAUUGGAAACGUUAGCUAAUACCUCAUAAUAUUGAUUAUUGCAUGAUAAUUGAUUGAAAGAUUCUAUUGCAUCCCUACCAGAUGGACCUGCGGUGUAUUAGCUAGUAUGUGAGGUAACGGCUCACCUAGGCGACGAUACAUAGCCGAACUGGGAGGGGGGUUGGGCAAACUGGGAAUGAGACACGGCCCCGAAUCCUACGGGAGGGCACAGUAGGGGAUCUUCCGGCAUGGACGAAAGGCUGAACGAGCCAAGCCGGGUGAGUGAAGGAGGUUCUCGGAUCGUAAAGCUCCGUUGUAAGAGGAGAACGGGUGUGAGAGUGGAAAGUUCACGCUGUGACGGUAUCUUACCAGAAAGGGACGGCUAACUACGUG